CACUGCUCCCCUGAGGUCCCAAAAGCAGUCAUGGAUGCCCAUACCACCCUUUCAUCAGUCCGAGGCUCCAUAACGCCUGAGCAUUAGGCCUGUGCUGACUUUUGGAGCUCAGAGGACAUCCAGUUCCCUAUUGCUGAUCAAAUCAGAGGCCUUUCUUAUACGUAACAGGACACCUGACACAACUGCUUCAAACAGUAAAGAGGAUUUAUUAGUUUAUGAACUGUAAAGUCCAGCAGUAGAAUGGAUUUCAGGAGAGGCUUAACCAGCCAUCCAACAAUGUGAUCAAAGGCCCUAUCUCCUGUUUCUCUGUACCACCAUCUUCAGUGCUGAAUUCAUCCCAAUUUGGACACCUUUCAUGUCUCAAGAUGGCUGCCAGCAGCCCCUGCAGCUACCUACUUUCUUGUUACCAUCUGUCAGAAAAGAGAUUAUCUGUGUCCCAGCCUCCCCAGCAAAUGUCCUCAGAUUCACCCUGAUUGGAUGCGUUUGGGUAAACACUGAAUCAUUCAUCACUGGCCACUGAAAUGGGAUGGCUGGUUGGCUUUGUCUGAGUCAUGUGGCCAUUCCUGGAGCUGAAGGCAAGGUCAGGGGGACUUUGGGAGAUGGAGGAUGGAGCACAAAACCAGUAAGGUUACUGAUAAACGUCUACCACCCUUUUCACCAAUGCUCCCAUGUGCAGGGCUCAGCUCUCUCUUCAGAAGAGGAGUGGUGAAGUGACAGCUUCCAGCGGCCACACCUUCAUCUCGAGAUCCACCCCAGUGUUUGCGCUAAGGCCACACUCUUCCUGGCCUGUUCCCAGCAGCUGGCUGGUCAUAGCAAGGUGCUGGAGCUGGGCCAUUCCUGCCCAGUGAGUGACUCCCAUCCUCUCCACACCUUCUUAAGCUUACACUGCACUGUGGGGCUCCUUCUCACACUUGUCUGUCUUCCUUUUGGUCUGCCCCCUGCCCCACUCCUGUUUCCUUUUCCCUUUAUUCUUCCUUCACAGACAUUGCACUUCUAAUUCUAUCUUGGCUUCUGCUUCCCAGCAAAUGAAACUGACACAUCCUGGUUUUCUGAGCUACUCUCUGAGUGUGCCUCUGAUUUUCAGAGGAGCUCAGCUCAAACCCACUUGCUCCACAAGUGCCUGUGGGGCCGAUACUGUCUCCAGUAUACAGAAGGGGAAGCCAGGGUUAGAGGUUGAGUAGCUUGCCUGAUGUCACCCAUGCAACAAGGGGAGCCUUGGCUUCCGAACCCCAUCUUUACCUCUCUGCAGCCCGUGCUCUCUACCAGCUGUAGACGCUGUUCCUGGUAGAGCCUGGUGAGGGGGAUUGUCGGUGGAUGGGCAGGAUCUCUGUACUGGGGGCGGGAGGGGCGUUGCCACGUUGAGCACCGACACUUGAGAAGUGACACGGCUUCGUUUGUACACAAACCAUCCUGCAUGGUGUUUAAAAACAAAGGGCAAAGUCAGACGUUGCUCGAGGGCCCGGAAAGCCAACUGCGAAGCAGGCGGGCAGCUCCCGGAUGGCCCCGCGUUGCCCCUGCUCCCACGCUCCCGGAUCAGUGAGAAAGCCUGCGCCCCGCCCUGAGAGCCAACCCGCUAAUCCGCGGCAUCGUCCACCAAUGUGUCUAAUGAGGUGGCAUAACCACCCAGCUCUCCCCGGAGCCGCGCAGGGCCUCCUGGCUGAACUAGCGGGUGUAGCUCCGUCGGGUC
Molecule: long non-coding RNA, 1687 nt
Filed under: Homo sapiens (human)
Lineage: Eukaryota; Metazoa; Chordata; Mammalia; Primates; Hominidae
Description: HSALNT0056183
Source: RNAcentral